This 515-nucleotide ribosomal RNA is filed under the name uncultured bacterium. RNAcentral's name for it is "partial 16S ribosomal RNA". It matches the Rfam family "Bacterial small subunit ribosomal RNA", at positions 28 to 523 of the family's 1533-position model. The record is from RNAcentral.
GAUGAACGCUGGCGGCGUGCCUAAUACAUGCAAGUCGAGCGAAUGGAUUAAGAGCUUGCUCUUAUGAAGUUAGCGGCGGACGGGUGAGUAACACGUGGGUAACCUGCCCAUAAGACUGGGAUAACUCCCGGAAACCGGGGCUAAUACCGGAUAAUAUUUUGAACUGCAUGGUUCAAAAUUGAAAGGCGGCUUCGGCUGUCACUUAUGGAUGGACCCGCGUCGCAUUAGCUAGUUGGUGAGGUAACGGCUCACCAAGGCAACGAUGCGUAGCCGACCUGAGAGGGUGAUCGGCCACACUGGGACUGAGACACGGCCCAGACUCCUACGGGAGGCAGCAGUAGGGAAUCUUCCGCAAUGGACGAAAGUCUGACGGAGCAACGCCGCGUGAGUGAUGAAGGCUUUCGGGUCGUAAAACUCUGUUGUUAGGGAAGAACAAGUGCUAGUUGAACAAGCUGGCACCUUGACGGUACCUAACCAGAAAGCCACGGCUAACUACGUGCCAGCCGCCGCCGUAA